RNAcentral lists this long non-coding RNA (432 nucleotides) under Lynx pardinus (Iberian lynx). Lineage: Eukaryota; Metazoa; Chordata; Mammalia; Carnivora; Felidae. The record is from RNAcentral.
GCCUGCGCCUUGCAGCUGGAGACAAAGGGCAGGCGGCGACCAAGGGGGGGCUGUGCCCCGAGACACUUGCAAGUCGCUCGUGGCUGUACCUCGGAACGCAGGCCAGGGCGGCCCCAGCCGCGCUCCGCUCGGCUGCGCUCGACUCUGCUCCGCUCGCAGGUUGGCGGGCUCGGCCAGCCGCUUCGCUGCCCCCUCUUGCGCUCCCGCGUCCCAGUCCGGAAGCCCCGCACGCUCCCGGGCUAAAUGCCGACGCGCCCCAGACCCGGGCGUCUGCCCCGGACCGCGCUGCACCUGUUGCCACGUGCGACGCGGCGCCCCGGGCUGCUGACCGCGCACCUGCCUGAGCCGCGCGUCCCCAGAUCACGCAGGUCCCCGCGGGCGACUGGAGUUGUGCCUACUCUCGGCUCUUGCCCCCUCGCUUAUCCGUGCGAG